UCUCUCUUUCUUUUUCCUCUCUUUCUUCCCCUCCCUGUUCAGCAGCCUUCUCUGUUUCGCAAGUGUUCCCGUUGGUUCCCCUAUACCGCAGCUUGGUAAACAUGGUUGGUUCAAGUCGUGCACUUAAGACGAAGGUUAGGUCUGUAAAAAGAGGAAACAAGUUUACCAACCGAGCUUACAUCUACGAUCAUGAUUUGGAAACAUACCUCAUUGCAUCCAUCCCCAAAUUGUACCUGGCAUCCGUUACCUGACAAACUCGUUCUUUUCAUUUGUGUCUCUAAAUCUGUGUUUAAUGGUCAUCUGAUGUUUGAUUUCAAUUUCCCUACUCCGUUGAAGUGUUUCCGAUGCCUUUAUUUCUUGUUGAUGAUGAAGUUUCCGUUGCUUCAUUUAUUUUUUUUAACUGCAUUUCAAGGUUUUAUUGCUUCUUUUUUAUACUUCCCCUGUUUUACAUACUUUUUUGUUGUUGAACGAGAAAGGCGAGAGCCUCUCUUUGGAAGUUGUAGAUGAAGCUGAAAUUAUUUUCAAUUUAUUUUUUUCCUACUGGUUGCUAUUUGAUAUCAUUUUGUUUUGUUUUUUUUUUUCCGUCAAGUGUUUUGAAUUUUCAUUUGAUUGCUAGUUCAAUUUCAAUUGCAAUCUCUACUCGUUUUGUUUUCGAUAUAUUUUUGGUUUUUUUACUUCUUUAUUUUUUUGACGAUUUCAAUCUUCACCUUCAACAACUUCAUUAAUGGCCUUUCUGUUUUAGUAGUUGAUUCUUUUUUAGAAGUCAUGCAUUCAUUCUGUUUAAGGUGUUGUCUUAUUCCUUUUUGUUACCUUCAAGUUUUUUCUUGUGUCUACACCAAACACACCUUUAACAGAAGAUCACUGAAGAUAAAACCAUCAAGAAAGGCGAAAUUGCCCUCAACGAUCAACACUGCGACUUUGCAAAGACCAAAAUAGGAGACUCUGCAACUGUGAUUCCAUUCAAUCUUCCUCAUGAUAAGUUUGACAUCACAGAAUUAUACUUGCAAUUGAAAUUCUCUGGCAACAUAGAGAUUAAUGCUCGUGACUGGGAGAAAAAACUGAAAGAUAUAUACAACAAUCAGGAUUCGUUUUUGCUGCUGCGGUUCUCUCAUUCUGCAGCUUUGUGUGGCUGCUGCAGUUUUUGCUGUUGAUGCAAGCUGAUCUCUUUUUUAGAAGCUGCUUAUGUUUCCUUUCUAAGCUGCAGGUGUUCUUUGAUUGGGAAUUUAUAGUUGUACUUUGUAUUCCAUGUCUUAAGAGUCAUAGAUCCAUGCUUAAAAAUGUAACUGGGAUGUGUGUUUGUAUGUAUGGGUAUCAACAUAUCUGCAAAUUAUAUCAAUUGAAGGCUGAAAAUUACCUAGAACAA
Long non-coding RNA from Carica papaya (papaya), 1363 nucleotides. RefSeq lists it as uncharacterized. The record is from RefSeq and is a predicted model, not a curated record. Lineage: Eukaryota; Viridiplantae; Streptophyta; Magnoliopsida; Brassicales; Caricaceae.